GAGUGUGAAAAAGCAAAAACACAACAGCGACACACAGAGUAUCACACUACGUAUCUAUGUACUUUGGAGAAUACUAUAACAUAAUCACACUUGUUUCUCAGAGAGAGAGAGAGUAUUGAGGUUUUCAAACUCUUCCUUAAUUUUCUCACAUUUUGUUUCUCUCUUACCUAUUCACAAGUUUCAUAUUUUCCAAUUUUCAUCUCCACAUCACACAUAACCAUAACCCUUUUCUUUUCAUUGCCCCGUUUUUCUCUCUGCUUGCAUUUUUCUUCGUUCUGUAAAAGGGUUUGUUUCGUUUCUUAGAAUUACAUCAGAUUCUUGUCAAAGUUUCUACCUUUGUCCUUUUCUGUUGCGUCUCUUCAGUUCCACUUGUUGCUGUAUAGUUGUUGUGGCUUCAAAGGUGGAAGCUUUUCCCUUUUUGAGAAAAUGGGGUUUUCGAAUUUUGAGUUGCAUGUGCAAAUCUAUGUCAUUUCCAUGGUGAUUUUCAUUGGAACUUUCUGUGUUGGAGACACUGACCCUGUUGAUGUUGCAGCAAUCAAUCGUCUAUAUGUUGCUAUGGACUCACCACCUCUUGAAGGGUGGAAGCCUGAGGGAGGGGAUCCAUGUUUAGAACUUUGGCAAGGUGUGGAUUGUGUCUUCUCCAACAUAACUGCCAUACGACUAGGCGGUAUGAAUUUAGGUGGAGAGCUUGGCAGUAGUUUGGAUUUCCCAUCCAUUAUAGCAAUUGAUCUUAGCAACAACCACAUCGGAGGUGCCAUUCCAUUCACUUUACCCCCUACUCUGAGGACCUUGUCUCUGUCAGGAAAUCGGUUAAAUGGAAGUAUUCCAGAUGCCUUAUCCUUAUUAACACAAUUGUCGAACUUGGAUUUGGCCAGUAACAACUUGAGCGGUCCGCUGCCAUCCUCAAUAGGGAGUUUAACGUCUCUUACAACAUUAAACUUGCAGAACAAUACACUUUCAGGGACCCUUUUUGUUUUGCAGGACCUUGCUCUUCAUGAUUUGGAUAUAGAGAAUAAUUUAUUCUCUGGACCAGUUCCUCCAAAUUUGCUGAGCAUCCCUAAUUUCAGAAAAGAUGGAAAUCCAUUUAAUACUACUAUUAUUCCAUCACCGCCUGCUGCGGCCCCUUCACCUGUAGCUAUGAGUCCAUUCCCUGGAGAAUCACCUUGGAGUGUGGCAUAUAGUCCUGCCCUGACAACAGUGAAGCCUACAAGUGGUUCUGCUAAGUCUUUUCUUGCUAAGCACGCCAUUUUGAUUGCUGUUGCCGGUCUUGUAGUAUUUAUUGCUUUGGGAAUUUGUCUUUUUAUGAUGUGGUGCUGUAAGAGAGAGCCAGAAAAUAAAAAAUCUCAGAAUCUUGACGUGGAGGGUUUUCCAAUGACAUUGCAUAAACCUACGCGCAAUGACACUACUUUUGGAGCAACUAAUCAAGAUGGAAAAGUUGAGAAAGCAUCACGUUUAAAUGAAGUACCAAAUAGAAUUACGAACAUGAUUCCAAAGGUUCAAGAUGAACUAGUAUAUAUCAACACAGUAUCUGCAACUUCAGAACCCAAUGAUGGUUCCAAACCUUCAACCUUGCAGCCACCACCACAUUCUCUGUCGAGCAUUCCUGGUGCAAAGGUCAUCGCCAAUCCAGCUGUAACCACCAAAGGUACUGAAAGACAAGCUAUGGCAAGUUCCAUCAAAAUGUAUACUGUUGCAUCACUUCAGCAAUAUACAAAUAGCUUUUCUGACGAAAACCGUAUCGGGGAAGGCACUCUUGGAUCGGUAUAUAGGGCUGAACUCCCUGAUGGAAAGCUGUUAGCAGUGAAGAAACUGGAUGCUACUGCUUUCAAGGACCAGAAUGAUGAACAGUUUCUUCAAUUGGUAUCCAGCAUCUCCAAAAUUCAGCAUGCCAAUAUUGCAAAGCUUGUGGGAUAUUGUGCCGAGUAUAACCAACGAUUACUUAUAUACGAAUAUUGUAGUAAUGGGACCCUACAUGAUACACUGCAUGGUGAUGACGAACAUUGUACUAAAUUUCCUUGGAAUGCACGCAUUAAGGUGGCACUUGGAGCUGCAAGGGCUUUAGAGUAUCUGCAUGAGAAUUUUCGGCCACCGAUUGUGCACCGAAACUUUAGAUCUGCUAAUGUUCUCCUGAAUGAAAAGUUGGAAGUGUGUGUCUCUGAUUGUGGAUUAGGUCAUUUGCUAUCUUCUGGCACUGUUGGUCAGUUAUCUGGACGCCUCCUCACAGCUUACGGUUACAGCGCUCCAGAAUUCGAGUCUGGAAGUUAUACACAGCAAAGCGAUGUCUUCAGUUUUGGAGUCGUAAUGCUAGAACUCCUCACUGGAAGAAAAUCCUACGACAAGUCACGGCCUCGUGCUGAACAGUUUUUGGUCAGAUGGGCAGUCCCUCAACUCCAUGACAUUGAUGCAUUGUCAAAAAUGGUUGACCCCCGCUUAAAUGGAUCCUAUUCUAUGAAGUCGUUGUCACGUUUUGCAGAUAUUGUUUCUUCAUGUAUUCAGCGUGAACCCGAAUUCCGACCAGCCAUGUCUGAAAUUGUCCAGGAUCUCUUGCUAACAAUGUAAAAAGAUGUGUACGAUGAACUCCCGUUCCAUAGCCGCCUAGAUUUGGUUCCCAAUUUUUUUGAACUUUACCUAUCUAUUCUUCAUUAAUUUGAAGAAUGCUGUGAGGUAGCUUUAUGCAUCACGGUUCAUCAUACGACAAAGAUGUCACGACUCAGUUCAGAACGAUUUAGUGCAUGCUUGGAAUCACAGUAAAUUUGGCCAAAUCACUGGUACAAUGAUUUUGUUGAAACUAUAAAAUGUAGUUUUUUCUUCAAAAUUUCGCAUGUUUUCCGUAAUUCUGUUAAAUUCACCUCGAAUCCAAGCAUGUUUAUAUCAUCUCAUCUUUUGCACAAUUGAUUUGGACACAUGAUUUUGGGCAAUGUCAUGUUAUAAAGGAGGGUUAUUUGUUGUUGUUGGGCAGCAAGUAUAAAUCAACAACAAUGUGUCACUCUUCAAAAGAUAUUGGUCAUUUUUUUACGGAUAUAUUGGUUUGUAACCCCAAAAAUUAUUGGUUGUUUUUGCCUUUUGGGUUUGUUUAAGAUAUUGGUUGUUUGGACAGAAAUGCUAUGUCUCGAAAGCAACUCACUCGUAGUCUGUUACUAUGUGCUAUUUUGGAUUUUUUAUAUCAAAUUUUGGAGCAUGUACUUAUCAAAAAAAUGUAACCGUGCUAUAUUUGUGUAUAUUUAGAUUCAUGUUUUAUAUUA
Cicer arietinum (chickpea) is the source of this 3242-nucleotide RNA transcript. It is a transcript of the gene named protein STRUBBELIG-RECEPTOR FAMILY 1-like, with no coding region annotated. NCBI's taxonomy places the organism in Eukaryota, Viridiplantae, Streptophyta, Magnoliopsida, Fabales, Fabaceae. The record is from RefSeq and is a predicted model, not a curated record.